AACCUGAAACCCUGUGUUUACAAGCUGUGGAAGGACGAAGGUCCGACCGCGUACUUUUUGUAGAACGGUCCGGCGAGUUAUCGCUGCCGGCAAGGUUAAGGAUUUAAGGUCCGGAGCCGAAGCGAAAGCGAGUCUUAAUAGGGCGAAAAGUCAGCAGAGAUAGACCCGAAACCGGGUGACCUAUCCAUGUCCAGGAUGAAGCCAAAGUAAAAUUUGGUGGAGGUCCGAACGCACAUCCGUUGAAAAGGGUGGCGAUGAGGUGUGGAUAGGGGAGAAAUUCCAAUCGAACCCGGAGAUAGCUGGUUCUCCUCGAAAUAGCUUUAGGGCUAGCCUCGUGUUAAUGAUCUUUUGCAGGUAGAGCACUGAAUUCUUGAGGGGGCGUCAAAGUCUACCAAGAGAUAUCAAACUCCGAAUGGCAGGAAGACAGACACGGGAGUCAGACGAUGCGAUAUAAAUUGCAUGGUCAAAAGGGAAAGAGCCCGGAUCUACAGCUAAGGUCCCAAAGUGCGUGUUAAGUGGGAAAGGAUGUGAGAUCUCAGAGACAACUAGGAUGUUGGCUCAGAAGCAGCCACACAUUCAAAGAGUGCGUAAUAGCUCACUAGUCGAGAGGUCCUGCGCCGAAAAUUCACGGGGCUGAAACACGACACCGAAGCUUAGGGAUGGAGAAAUCCAUCGGUAGAGGAGCAUUGAAAACCCAUAGAAGCAGGACCGGAAGGUUCUGUGGAGAGUUUUGAAGAGAGAAUGCCGGAAUGAGUAGCGAGAUGGAGGUGGGAAUCCUCCAGGCCGAAAAUCUAAGGUUUCCAGGGUAAAGCUGAUCUGCCCUGGGGAAGUCGGGGCCUAAGGCGAGGCUGAAAAGCGUAGUCGAUGGAGAACUGGUGAAGAUUCCAGUACCGAAUGAUAUCAGAACUGCGGGGACACAUGGGGGAAGGAAGAGCCGGGAGAGAGAAGACCGGUGCAAGCGCCGAAAGGCGUGAAGCGGAACGAAGAAAAGUAGGGAAGCUUCCGGAGACUGUGGCGAGAAAAGCCGCUAUUGUGUAUCAUGAGCCCGUACCGCAAACCGACACAGGUAGAUGAGGAGAGAAUCCUAAGGCCGACGGGAGAAGCAUUGUUAAGGAACUCGGCAAAAUGACCCCGUAACUUCGGGAGAAGGGGUGCCCACGGGAGUGGGCCGCAGAGAAAAGGCUCAAGCAACUGUUUAGCAAAAACACAGGUCUAUGCGAAACCGAAAGGUAAAGUAUAUGGGCUGACGCCUGCCCGGUGCUGGAAGGUUAAGAGGAGAGGUUAGCGCAAGCGAAGCUUUGAAUUGAAGCCCCAGUAAACGGCGGCCGUAACUAUAACGGUCCUAAGGUAGCGAAAUUCCUUGUCGGGUAAGUUCCGACCCGCACGAAAGGCGUAACGAUUUGGGCACUGUCUCAACGAUGGACUCGGUGAAAUCAUAGUACCUGUGAAGAUGCAGGUUACCCGCGACAGGACGGAAAGACCCCAUGGAGCUUUACUGUAG
RNAcentral lists this ribosomal RNA (1501 nucleotides) under human metagenome. Its description in RNAcentral is "bacterial LSU rRNA". It matches the Rfam family "Bacterial large subunit ribosomal RNA", at positions 547 to 2109 of the family's 2925-position model. The record is from RNAcentral.